This 104-nucleotide ribosomal RNA is filed under the name Cytobacillus oceanisediminis. RNAcentral's name for it is "partial 16S ribosomal RNA". It matches the Rfam family "Bacterial small subunit ribosomal RNA", at positions 1430 to 1533 of the family's 1533-position model. The record is from RNAcentral. Lineage: Bacteria; Bacillati; Bacillota; Bacilli; Caryophanales; Bacillaceae.
GUGGGGUAACCUUUUGGAGCCAGCCGCCUAAGGUGGGACAGAUGAUUGGGGUGAAGUCGUAACAAGGUAGCCGUAUCGGAAGGUGCGGCUGGAUCACCUCCUUU